UACGGGGGGGGCAAGCGUUGUUCGGAAUUACUGGGCGUAAAGGGCUCGUAGGCGGCCAACUAAGUCGGAUGUGAAAUCCCCAGGCUUAACCUGGGAACUGCAUCCGAUACUGGAUGGCUUGAAUCCGGGAGAGGGAUGCAGAAUUCCAGGUGUAGCGGUGAAAUGCGUAGAUAUCUGGAGGAAUACCGGUGGCGAAGGCGGCAUCCUGGACCGGCAUUGACGCUGAUGAGCGAAAGCUAGGGGAGCGAACAGG
This 253-nucleotide ribosomal RNA is filed under the name uncultured bacterium. RNAcentral describes it as "partial 16S ribosomal RNA". It matches the Rfam family "Bacterial small subunit ribosomal RNA", at positions 524 to 776 of the family's 1533-position model. The record is from RNAcentral.